CCUAGCUUGCUAGGUGGAUUAGUGGCGCACGGGUGAGUAAUAUAUAGAUAACGUGCCUCUUAGUCUGGGAUAGCCAUUGGAAACGAUGAUUAAUACUAGAUAUUCCUUCUAACAAUAAUGUUAGUCGGGAAAGUUUUUCGCUAAGAGAUCGGUCUAUAUCCCAUCAGCUAGUUGGUAGUGUAAGAGACUACCAAGGCAAUGACGGGUAGCGGGUUUGAGAGGAUGAUCCGCCACACUGGUACUGAGACACGGACCAGACUCCUACGGGAGGCAGCAGUGAGGAAUAUUGCACAAUGGAGGAAACUCUGAUGCAGCAACGCCGCGUGGAGGAUGACGCAUUUCGGUGUGUAAACUCCUUUUAUAUGUCAAGAAAAUGACGGUAGCAUAUGAAUAAGCACCGGCUAACUCCGUGCCAGCAGCCGCGGUAAUACGGAGGGUGCAAGCGUUAUUCGGAAUCACUGGGCGUAAAGGACGCGUAGGCGGGAUGCCAAGUCUGAUGU
This 500-nucleotide ribosomal RNA is filed under the name uncultured Campylobacterota bacterium. RNAcentral describes it as "bacterial SSU rRNA". It matches the Rfam family "Bacterial small subunit ribosomal RNA", at positions 74 to 595 of the family's 1533-position model. Lineage: Bacteria; Pseudomonadati; Campylobacterota. The record is from RNAcentral.